RNAcentral lists this ribosomal RNA (429 nucleotides) under Bacillota bacterium. Its description in RNAcentral is "Firmicutes bacterium partial 16S ribosomal RNA". It matches the Rfam family "Bacterial small subunit ribosomal RNA", at positions 355 to 776 of the family's 1533-position model. Lineage: Bacteria; Bacillati; Bacillota. The record is from RNAcentral.
UAGGGAAUCUUCCACAAUGGGUGCAAACCUGAUGGAGCAAUGCCGCGUGAAUGAAGAAGGUCUUCGGAUCGUAAAGUUCUGUUAUUAGUGAAGAACAAAUCGAGGAGUAACUGUCUCGAUUUUGACGGUAACUAACCAGAAAGUCACGGCUAACUACGUGCCAGCAGCCGCGGUAAUACGUAGGUGACAAGCAUUGUCCGGAAUUAUUGGGCGUAAAGGGAGCGCAGGCGGUUGGAAUAGUCUGAUGUGAAAGCCCACGGCUUAACCGUGGAAGGUCAUUGGAAACUGUCCAACUUGAAUGCAGAAGAGGUAAGUGGAAUUCCAUGUGUAGCGGUGAAAUGCGUAGAUAUAUGGAGGAACACCAGUGGCGAAGGCGACUUACUGGUCUGUAAUUGACGCUGAGGCUCGAAAGCGUGGGUAGCGAACAGG